AACGAACGCUGGCGGCAGGCUUAACACAUGCAAGUCGAACGCCCCGCAAGGGGAGUGGCAGACGGGUGAGUAACGCGUGGGAAUCUACCGUACCCUACGGAAUAACGCAUGGAAACGUGUGCUAAUACCGUAUACGCCCUACGGGGGAAAGAUUUAUCGGGGUAUGAUGAGCCCGCGUUGGAUUAGCUAGUUGGUGGGGUAAAGGCCUACCAAGGCGACGAUCCAUAGCUGGUCUGAGAGGAUGAUCAGCCACAUUGGGACUGAGACACGGCCCAAACUCCUACGGGAGGCAGCAGUGGGGAAUAUUGGACAAUGGGCGCAAGCCUGAUCCAGCCAUGCCGCGUGAGUGAUGAAGGUCUUAGGAUUGUAAAGCUCUUUCACCGGAGAAGAUAAUGACGGUAUCCGGAGAAGAAGCCCCGGCUAACUUCGUGCCAGCAGCCGCCGUAA
Molecule: ribosomal RNA, 447 nt
Filed under: uncultured bacterium
Lineage: Bacteria
Description: partial 16S ribosomal RNA
Rfam family: Bacterial small subunit ribosomal RNA
Source: RNAcentral